Molecule: long non-coding RNA, 4883 nt
Organism: Cuculus canorus (common cuckoo)
Lineage: Eukaryota; Metazoa; Chordata; Aves; Cuculiformes; Cuculidae
Exons: 14
Source: RefSeq, a predicted model, not a curated record
ACAUUAAUCCAGUCUUCUUGACCAUCAUUUCUUGUGUGGCUGUGCUACAGGGAGCGGCGGGAGAAAUGGCCACGUGAGUGUCAUGGUGCAGAGGAACAUCAGAGCUCUCAGAAGUGUGCCAGGCAGCUCCCAGGGCAAUGGUUCACAAUGCACCCUUGUGGCUGCUUUCUGCUCCAGGCAUUUUAAUCAUCUGCUGCAGAGGACCAGGUGAGCUAUGGGGAAAGCUGCUGAGGCUGCCGCUGAAGCUGAACGCUUCAUACAGUGGAUAUUUUCUUCUCUCUGGCAUCUGGAUCAUGUUUGGUGCAGUUGUAGGACCCUUUGAAGCCCAGUGUUUUAUUUUUCUAACACUUGGAAAAACCAGACCCUGAAGGACAGACAACAAGCAAACUAAAUCAAAACAUGUUUUCCCCAAAUACACAUAAACUUCCCUUUCCAGUAAAAAAAAAUGCCCUGAGGACAUUGGAUCUCAGCACUAAGUCCAAGCCUUUGGUAACAGCCUGCAUAGAACAAACAAGGAACGAAAAAAAGAAAGAAAGACAAACAAACAAACAAGCAAACCCUGCUGUACUGCCAAGGUUAGCCACAUGCUUCUGGUGCCUUUGUUCUUUGGAAGGAAUGCUGGGGUCACCAUAAUGAUCCAUGUCCCUGUGAUAUUUCAUGAGGAGAACAGGGAUUCUUGCUCUUGAUCUUUCUUGAGCGGACUGAGUGCUACCCAGCUUGCUGUCUUUACAGCUGAACAGGUACAAAUCCUACACAAGCUGGGUCUUCUCUCUUUUUGUCUAAACAAGGGUGGAGGGUGCUUUCUGAGUUGGGGUUCAUUAUUAUAGCAGCUAAUAUGAAAACAAAGCUGUGCUUUCCCUUUUUCAAAGCACACACUGCAGGCCUCUUUAACUCUCCCUGCUACUUUUAUUCUAAGGAAAUACUGGUAUCCUCACAAAAUCUGACCAUGAUGCUGUCAAUUUACACAUAAAAAGGGCAAGUACUGAUCUUAGGUGCCCUAUAAAUAACGGUUACAGCUAUGCUUUAGGCCUGGGUGGUAUUUUCUCUUACUUUAUUUUCAUAAAUGAGUUAACACAGUGCUGACAGUGGUGACCAGACAAUGCACGAAGAUGCCCUGAGUUUCACUGUGCAUCCAUAGCCUGCCCAGGGGAGCUCCCUUCUGUCUGAAUGCAAAAAAAGCCCUGAAAAAGCACUCAUAAAGACUACACUUGAAGAGGCAGAAGAGAUGUCCAAGAUCUGCUUUUAUUUUGGAAAGAUCCAGGUGCUUGGUUAAAGGCUCAGCAUCUGGUAUUUCAAAAGCCUCAGAAGAAUCCUGACCUAUCCACGAUGUAGAGUGAAAGAGAGAAGAAGAAAGGUUUCCAGGAAGCGACUUCAUUUUUCCUUUAUGCCAGGAAGAUAUCUUGGUACAAUAGCUUCUACAGGGUUAUUGGAAAAGGUCCUCUGAAGAGGUGAGUUGGAUGGCAGUGUCGUGGGAGGAGACACUGAGCUGGCGUCUUGUUCCUGGGACUUUACAGAAUGUAGCAACAAUUGCACAGAGAUACUCAGUGGCAUUUGACACGAGUUCUCAUCACUCCUCAGAGACUCACAGAUCUGCCUGGGAUACCUGGGCUCACAUAUCUCUCUGGUGGAUGAAAUAAGUCUACUGUAGCUGGAUAAGUAUUGCACAGAUUCAGUUUUCCAGUCAGGAACAUUCAUAGUGCUGAGACAUUGUGGAGUGUUUCAUAUGUGAUAACAACACACAGACCUUAUAACAGCCCUUAUGCAACAAUGCCAGCCCUGCGAGCAAGAACUGUGGACAGUUAGCUGAAAAUCAGAGCCAUGAUGCAAAGUGGGAUAAAGAUAGGAAAGCCCAUUUCAUAGAGGACAGGAAUGAAAGCCUGUAAGUUGACUGUCAAAGGGAAUCAAGCUCCUGCUCCAGUGUGGUAUGAUAUGGAGUUGCGGUACAGCACGCGGCGUAGCUGGGCACUCUUGGAGCGCUGGCGGUCAUAGCCACCUGGCAGAAUUUAGUAUGUAUGCUAAAUUGCCAGCAGUUUGGAUAAGAUUCCAGCUGGAUGAAAUAUGUCAAUCCGAUGAAUAGACAAGGAAAGAUUAAGACUGCUUCAGUCUCACCUGUCCCUUCCUAUUGGCUCUCCUCAUCUAAACCAGGGAAACUCAGAUCCUUCCGGGAGAUGACUGUUACCAAAUGACAGCAUUUGUAAGGAGAAGGAGCAGCUGCAUUGUGUGGAGGAGGAACAUUCCAGGAAUCUUUCAUAUUGCUUUUAACAAGUGCCAUCUAUCUCAAAAGAGAUGACUGUGUAUUACCAUCCCAUAUUCAAGCUCUGUGGGAGGUUACCUUGGGCCAUGGAAUGUCAGCCAUAGUGCUGUCAGCAACCUAGCAUAGCGAGAGCGUCUACAGAAACAGAACUUAGGCUGCAAAGCUGUCACAGCAAAGACUUUGGGUGGGCAGAAAUGAUUCUUGUUUAACCCAAGGUCAAAAAACAAAGGAUUUGAGGUGGAGAAGAUGGAUCAAUCAUCUAUGUAAAUCAAACCAAAGGUGAAUGUCAAUAAAUCACUCUAUCCGCAAAGGGGGAGGGAAAGAAGAGAAGCACAGCCAUCUGCAAAGCCAAGUGCAAGGAUGGACCGAGGAUGAUUCACCCUGCUUUUAUCCACAGCCUGUAUUCACUCGGUAGAACAGAUAUUGUGUUCCACCCCAGUCAGAAGGAGACAACUUAUGCAAAACAGGUCUUCUGCAAGGACCAACUAACGGAUCUUAUCAAGCACAGAAAUUUUGGCUCCAGUAACAAGUACAGGAUCAAUAUGGAGAAUUGCGCUGAUUACAGGAAGGGUUUGUGGAUGAACUGCAGAACUCCAGCCCUAAAACCAGCUGAAACAGACAUUUUCUGGUGCUUCUAGAAAGUGGGAAACCGGUGAAGGAUUUGCAGAUGAGGUUAUGGCUUUCCAGAGAAAAGUUGGAAGUGGAAAUCACAGAAAUUUCAAAUCAUGGAAUCAUAGAAAUUUCGAAACCUUGUGAUACACCACUGAUGAAACCUGAAAUCUGUCAUUGGUAUCUCUGGUACCCAGUUUAGGAGAACAUAAAAAGAUUUUUGUUUAAAUGGAAUUAACAAAGAAAUCUAAGACACCUCAGCUUGGGAUUUCAAAGCCUGGAUUCAACUCAGAUGAACUUUUAAAGAUCCGUUCAUAAUGCCUUGAAGCAUUUGUGUAUGAGGAAUGAUUUUUUUUUCCCACAGCCCUUCCAAAAAUAAGAAAGAGUCGCUUCUGCCACAUUAUGUGUUGUAUUUCACAACAGGCUCAUCCAGCAGAAUCAGGGAAGAUCAUCAUUGGAACAAGACUGCAAAGAUAUCGAUGUAUACAUGUGCAAGAUCCACAGAAGAUAGAAUGGUCUGUAUGGAACACGCAGGAUUUCAUCAUGUACACCUCGGACGAACAGAUACGUCUUUGCCCCAUUGUCACGUUAUCUUAGGAGGAAUUAAAGGGCUGAAUGAUUGAGAUUAUUAACUACCCUUUUGUUUUCUUCAUGGCCACUUUACUGAAUGAUUAACCUGAUCAAAACCUGCCAAAGAUAAGGAGAGACAUACCUUUUCUUUUUAGACUUCCUCUGACCUUGCCCUUCCCUUACAAGGCCAGUUUGUAGAGUGAUGGUAUGUCUAACUAAACAAAAGAAAAGAGCUAUGCUUUUGCAGAUAGACACCCUCUUCAGACAAUCAAAGAAAUCUUUUAUUUAUAUUGAUGAAGAACUGGAUUGCUGUGGAAAAAAAAUCACUUGCCUUGAACAUCUUGAUUUAUGAUCAGAUCCUUACUGAGCUUAGGAAAUUCAUCAAGUGAGACAAAAUUUACUGGGGUGCACUGUAUGUGAAAGAGAUCUUGCACAGGGACCGACAGAGUUGACUGGAUUUUAUGAAAAUGCACAUACUGAGCUAUCAUCUAAUCUGAUUAAUUAACACUUGUUUAUGUUCUGUUUCUUGCAGCCUUUUUUCAACACCCCAGAACUGAUUCUAAUAAAAUCCCUUUGCGAGUUCUUUUUCCACACACUUAACUCAUGAUUGCAAAAAUCAUUACCACUUUUGAUUAUAAUCUUUAAUUAGCGAGAAAAUAUAUGUGUUGAAUUAUUUAACCAGUGUUCAUUUGCAUCAUCAUGUUUUGACAGCUUUUGCAUUAAUAAAUCUUUUGUAGACUCAAAGACCCUCAAUAGCCUUGGAUGGAGCUCUUUCAGGACUUCCAUUAAACACUUUGCUUUCUGAGGACCUUAAAGCACAAUGCUCACCCAGGACUUUUCAUCCAGGUAUGGGUUUUCUGGUCACUAGCCUGUCCCUUCUGCUCAUAUUAUAGCUUAACGAAUCUUUAAGAGGUUUCCUUCUCAGUUGAAGGAGUUCAAAAGGAGAGGAGGAGAUAACACCUAUGCACAGCCUCUCAUGGGAGAGUGGUUGGGUGCUUUGAGGACAAAUUUAUCACUUGUCUGCUGCAUGACCUUCUGGAUUUGUAUUACAGCUGCUCAAUUGUGCUUUUUUUUUAAUGGAGGAAAACUUGGCGUAUAGCUUAUUCUUUCUGAUGUUCUCAAAGGAGCCUUUACCUGCCUCAUAGAAAUGCCUCAGGUCUUCUAUGCUUGAUCUAGCUUUUCUUGUGUCUUAUAUCUACAUUUUUGAUGAGAAAGUAAUAUGGCUCAAAGUAUUCUCAGAAACGACAACAUUCCUGCAAGGCCAAGGCAGCAGAAGUUAAGGGUGUCUUGUAGGUUGAUAAAGCAAAGCUUUUGCUUGUACAAAGCAAAACUGUACCCUGCAAUGAGCUUCAGAUGGGAGAAUACCUGGAUUCCUACACAAAACCACAUUAGACCCAGUGCGGGUCUCUGCCUGUGGAAUACGUUGUCAAGUUGUAAUGUAAAAAUGGGU